This 155-nucleotide ribosomal RNA is filed under the name leaf litter ascomycete strain its228. Its description in RNAcentral is "5.8S ribosomal RNA". It matches the Rfam family "5.8S ribosomal RNA". Rfam says of the family: 5.8S ribosomal RNA (5.8S rRNA) is a component of the large subunit of the eukaryotic ribosome. It is transcribed by RNA polymerase I as part of the 45S precursor that also contains 18S and 28S rRNA. The record is from RNAcentral. Lineage: Eukaryota; Fungi; Ascomycota.
AACUUUCAACAACGGAUCUCUUGGCUCUGGCAUCGAUGAAGAACGCAGCGAAAUGCGAUAAGUAAUGUGAAUUGCAGAAUUCAGUGAAUCAUCGAAUCUUUGAACGCACAUUGCGCCCCUUGGUAUUCCGAGGGGCAUGCCUGUUCGAGCGUCAU